GACGGAGGGUGCUAGCGUUGUUCGGAAUCACUGGGCGUAAAGGGCGCGUAGGCGGCUUUAGGUGUCGGAUGUGAAAGCCCGGGGCUCAACUCCGGAGGUGCAUCCGAAACUCUAUGGCUCGAGGCCGGAAGAGGAGGGUGGAAUACCCAGUGUAGAGGUGAAAUUCGUAGAUAUUGGGUGGAACACCGGUGGCGAAAGCGGCUCUCUGGUCCGGACCUGACGCUGAGGCGCGAAAGCGUGGGGAGCAAACAGG
RNAcentral lists this unclassified non-coding RNA (253 nucleotides) under uncultured Alphaproteobacteria bacterium. RNAcentral describes it as "contains 16S-23S intergenic spacer region". It matches the Rfam family "Bacterial small subunit ribosomal RNA", at positions 524 to 776 of the family's 1533-position model. The record is from RNAcentral. Lineage: Bacteria; Pseudomonadati; Pseudomonadota; Alphaproteobacteria.